GUGUCAGCAGCCGCGGUAAUACGUAGGUGGCAAGCGUUAUCCGGAAUUAUUGGGCGUAAAGCGCGCGUAGGCGGUUUUUUAAGUCUGAUGUGAAAGCCCACGGCUCAACCGUGGAGGGUCAUUGGAAACUGGAAAACUUGAGUGCAGAAGAGGAAAGUGGAAUUCCAUGUGUGGCGGUGAAAUGCGUAGAUAUAUGGAGGAACACCAGUGGCGAAGGCGACUCUCUGGUCUGUAACUGACGCUGAGGCUCGAAAGCGUGGGUAGCAAACAGGAUUAGAUACCCGAGUAGUCC
This 292-nucleotide ribosomal RNA is filed under the name uncultured Staphylococcus sp. Its description in RNAcentral is "partial 16S ribosomal RNA". It matches the Rfam family "Bacterial small subunit ribosomal RNA", at positions 505 to 796 of the family's 1533-position model. Lineage: Bacteria; Bacillati; Bacillota; Bacilli; Caryophanales; Staphylococcaceae. The record is from RNAcentral.